RNAcentral lists this ribosomal RNA (269 nucleotides) under uncultured prokaryote. RNAcentral's name for it is "partial 16S ribosomal RNA". It matches the Rfam family "Bacterial small subunit ribosomal RNA", at positions 524 to 792 of the family's 1533-position model. The record is from RNAcentral.
UACGUAGGUGGCGAGCGUUGUCCGGAUUUACUGGGCGUAAAGGGAGCGUAGGCGGACUUUUAAGUGAGAUGUGAAAUACCCGGGCUUAACUUGGGUGCUGCAUUUCAAACUGGAAGUCUAGAGUGCAGGAGAGGAGAAUGGAAUUCCUAGUGUAGCGGUGAAAUGCGUAGAGAUUAGGAAGAACACCAGUGGCGAAGGCGAUUCUCUGGACUGUAACUGACGCUGAGGCUCGAAAGCGUGGGGAGCAAACAGGAUUAGAUACCCUGGUA